AUUUUGCACUCCUAUCAAUACAAGCAGUCUGACUGGGGACUUUAUUCUUAAUAUCAUUAACGUUUUUCCCCUCAUCCCAUGCCACUUACACAUAUGUUUUGAAACAAAGGAAUGGAGGCACAAUUAUUUUCAUCUUUUCUUGCAUUUUCCUUUUCUGUAGCCUGUUUAAAUAAAUGAGCAUGCAGUCAUCACUAUGAGGCUACUCUGUCGAAGUCGGUACGUGUCUGAUUUUGCUUAUUCUAUAGAAAUGCUUUUAGGGUUUUCCCCUUCCUUUAAAGAUGUUAGACUUACAGUGCUGUGCUUCAAGUGCCGUUUAUUGAAUUUCGUACUAGAACGAGUGAGUGUGUGUUAAUGAACCUGUGCUUGUUGAUUCUCUCUCUCUCUACGUGCUCCUCCCUGCAGCUAGCUGUUCAGUGCAUCUGCCACAGCUGGCAGUGGCUGGAGCACCCAACGCGGUGGGUGUUCCUUCACAUGCCUGGCCAGCUUCUGCUCUGCGAAGACCUGUGGCUGUUCUUGCCUCUUCAGUCAAUCAGUACUCCUCCUCUGUACAAGCCUGAGGGUGCAGCCCAGAGUUUUUUACACUGAGACAUGUUAAAGGUACGCAACUAGUGACAAAGCCAAGCAUCCUGAGUCAUUUGAAAUGGUGACCUGUGCUGAUUCCAUCUCCUGUUCUUGCCAUUCAGUCCUUUAUAAAUAAUCUCCUAAUCAGAAUCAACAGUUCUCG
RNAcentral lists this long non-coding RNA (724 nucleotides) under Numida meleagris (helmeted guineafowl). RNAcentral describes it as "lncRNA (ENSNMEG00000000565.1)". Lineage: Eukaryota; Metazoa; Chordata; Aves; Galliformes; Numididae. The record is from RNAcentral.